GAUGAAGAACGUAGCGAAAUGCGAUAAGUAAUGUGAAUUGCAGAAUUCAGUGAAUCAUCGAAUCUUUGAACGCACAUUGCGCCCGCCAGUAUUCUGGCGGGCAUGCCUGUUCGAGCGUCAUUUCAACCAUCAAGCCCCCCCGGCUUGUGUUGGGGACCUGCGGCUGCCGCAGGCCCUGAAAAGCAGUGGCGGGCUCGCUGUCACACCGAGCGUAGUAGAUCUCAUCUCGCCCAGGGCGUGCUGCGGGUUCCGGCCGUUAAACCACCUUCAUAACCCAAGGUUGACCUCGGAUCAGGUAGGAAGACCCGCUGAACUUAAGCAUAUCAAUAAGCGGAGGA
This 338-nucleotide unclassified non-coding RNA is filed under the name soil metagenome. RNAcentral describes it as "partial contains 5.8S ribosomal RNA, internal transcribed spacer 2, and large subunit ribosomal RNA". The stretch from base 1 to 120 matches the Rfam family "5.8S ribosomal RNA", at positions 35 to 154 of the family's 154-position model. The record is from RNAcentral.